Molecule: non-coding RNA, 1519 nt
Organism: Dermatophagoides farinae (American house dust mite)
Lineage: Eukaryota; Metazoa; Arthropoda; Arachnida; Sarcoptiformes; Pyroglyphidae
Source: RefSeq, a predicted model, not a curated record
UUUGGCAUUUCUUGUUCGCUUUUCAAGCACGUGUCUCAAAAAACGUUCAUUGUUUUUUUUUUUUUUUCUUUCUUGCAUGAUCAUUUUUUUGGUUAAAAUCUUUUAUUAAUAACAGCAACAAUUAUUAGUCAAUUAGUAGUUAAUUUAUCAUAAAUAAUUAAUAUUUGAUAUAAAUAAUGGAUAUUGAUAUAAAAAAUAUUGCGGUCAAUGGAGAAUCGCAGGAAAAAAUGGCUUGUUCAAAUUGUGGCUGUAGUGAAUUGGUACCUGUUAAUGACACUAUCAAAGCUGAUGAUAUGACAUCGAAAGAUUAUUAUUUUGAUUCAUAUGGACAUUAUGGAAUCCACGAAGAAAUGCUGAAAGAUGAAGUCAGAACAAAAGCAUAUAAAAACGCUGUCAUGAUGAAUAGACAUUUAUUUAAAAAUAAAGUUGUUCUGGAUGUUGGCUGUGGAACAGCAAUCUUAUGUAUGUUUGCAAUCAAAGCCGGUGCCAAACAUGCCAUUGGAAUCGAAUGCAGUUCAAUCAUCGACGUAGCACGAAAAAUUGUUGCUGACAAUAACAUGUCUGACAAAAUUACAUUGAUCAAAGGCAAAGCAGAAGAAAUUGAAUUGCCAGCUGAAUAUCCCAAAGUAGACAUCAUCAUUUCUGAAUGGAUGGGCUAUUGUCUAUUUUAUGAAUUGAUGUUGAGUACGGUGAUUUAUGCCCGUGACAAAUGGCUGGCUCCAAACGGUAUGAUAUUUCCAGACAAAGCUCGCCUGUACAUUACAGCUAUUGAAGAUCAUCAGUACAAAGAUGAAAAAAUUAAUUGGUGGGAUAAUGUUUAUGGCUUUAACAUGAGCGCCGUUCGUGAUCUUGUAAUCAGUGAACCAUUAGUUGAUCUAGUUGAACCAAAUCAAAUUGUGACCAAUUAUUAUAAAGUAAAAGAAGUUGAUCUUUACACGGUCACCAUUGAUGAUCUCACAUUUGAAUCGAAUUUCAGUCUGAUCGCAAAACGUAGCGAUCAUGUCCAUGCAUUGGUAACAUUCUUUUCGAUAGAAUUUAGCAAAUCCCUCAAAACUAUUGGAUUUUCUACUUCACCGGAACAUCGUACGACGCAUUGGAAACAAACCAUAUUUUAUAUUGAUGAUUAUAUGACCAUUGCAAAUGGGGAAGAAAUCGUUGGAACAUUCUACAUGGCUCCAAAUCUCAAAAAUAGACGUGAUAUGGAUAUCAAAAUACACGUUGAUCAUCGUGGUGAAUUGGAACAAUACAAUAAUAGUUUUUUGUAUAAAAUGCGCUAAAUGAAAAUUGUUUAAAUAACGAAUCAAUGCCACUAUUGCUGGUAAUGAAUUUUUUUAAAAUUUUUUUCGAACCUGGACCAAACUUGAUUGACUCCGAUGAACCUAGCAUGGUAACCUGAUCCACGUCAUUAUAAUCAAUACAUUCAAAUUCCAGACUACCUUCAUGCGGCCAUUCGAGUGUUAUUCCAUAGAUUGCAUCAGAUUUCAUUGUAUAAAAUGUUUGAUUAUUCUUUGAUAUUUGA